GUCUUUUUGAGUUAUUUUUAAAGUCUGACCUGCCCACUGAAUUUUAAAUGGCCGCAGUAUUUUAACUGUGCAAAGGUAGCAUAAUCAUUAGUCUUUUAAUUGAAGGCUGGUAUGAACGGUUGGACGAGGUAUAAGCUGUUUCAUGUAGAUUUAUGAUAGAAUUUUAUAUUUUAGUUAAAAAGCUAAGAUGUAAUUAAAAGACGAGAAGACCCUAUAAAUCUUUAUAUUUUAUAUAGUUUGAAUUUUUUAGAUUUAUUUUAUUUUUAUUAUAUGAAAUAUUUUGUUGGGGUGAUAUUAAAAUUUAAUAAACUUUUAAUUAUUUUAGUUCAUUAAUUUAUGUUUUAUUGAUCCAUUAAUAGUGAUUAUAAGAUUAAGUUACUUUAGGGAUAACAGCGUAAUUUUUUUGGAGAGUUCAUAUCGAUAAAAAAGUUAGCGACCUCGAUGUUGGAUUAAGAUAUAAUUUUAGGUGUAGCUGCUUAAAUGUUAAGUCUGUUCGACUUUUAAAUUCUU
This 510-nucleotide ribosomal RNA is filed under the name Dacus masaicus. Its description in RNAcentral is "partial 16S ribosomal RNA". The stretch from base 386 to 510 matches the Rfam family "Bacterial large subunit ribosomal RNA", at positions 2473 to 2597 of the family's 2925-position model. Lineage: Eukaryota; Metazoa; Arthropoda; Insecta; Diptera; Tephritidae. The record is from RNAcentral.